Molecule: ribosomal RNA, 567 nt
Filed under: uncultured bacterium
Lineage: Bacteria
Description: bacterial SSU rRNA
Rfam family: Bacterial small subunit ribosomal RNA
Source: RNAcentral
CCUACGGGAGGCAGCAGUGGGGAAUAUUGGGCAAUGGAGGAAACUCUGACCCAGCGACGCCGCGUGCGGGAUGAAGGCCUUCGGGUUGUAAACCGCUUUCAGUAGGGAAGAAGCGAAAGUGACGGUACCUACAAAAGAAGCACCGGCUAACUAUGUGCCAGCAGCCGCGGUAAUACAUAGGGUGCAAGCGUUGUCCGGAAUUAUUGGGCGUAAAGAGCUCGUAGGUCGUUUGUUACGUCGGAUGUGAAAACCUGAGGCUCAACCUCAGGCCUGCAUUCGAUACGGGCAAACUGGAGUUUGGUAGGGGAGACUGGAAUUCCUGGUGUAGCGGUGGAAUGCGCAGAUAUCAGGAGGAACACCAAUGGCGAAGGCAGGUCUCUGGGCCAAUACUGACACUGAGGAGCGAAAGUCUGGGGAGCGAACAGGAUUAGAUACCCUGGUAGUCCAGACCGUAAACGGUGGGACACUAGUUGUGGGAACCUUCACGGUUUCUGCGACGCAGCUAACGCAUUAAGUGCCCCGCCUGGGGAGUACGAUCGCAAGAUUAAAACUCAAAUGAAUUGACGG